Molecule: long non-coding RNA, 1960 nt
Filed under: Centruroides sculpturatus (bark scorpion)
Lineage: Eukaryota; Metazoa; Arthropoda; Arachnida; Scorpiones; Buthidae
Description: uncharacterized LOC111641278
Source: RNAcentral
UGGACUUGCUAAUUACACUCCUACAAUGAUAAGUUCAUCAGAAACAUUCCAUUUAGGAGUGACUAGACCUGUUCAUAGAGAUUCUGAAACAACUGUAAAACCAGAAAAUGAGUUAACGGAGACCACAGAAGAUGUAUUAAAACCAGCAGAUCCAGAAGACAUGUCCUCUUGGUCUUCAUCUUCUACGACAUCGGAUCUUCUCUUUUAAGCAGUGAUGGAAUCAUAUUUUGAGCUGAAGUUACUUUUAUUUGAGAAAAUUUGGUUGAAUUUGUUAAGAGUCUGAACUGAAUUUACGAUUUUAACAUCAGAAGAACAGAAGCAAUGUCGAUCUAUUGUGGCAAAUGAAAUGAGAUGUUGAUCGAUUGCAUUGAAUGAAACAAGCAAACUAGAAUGGUUAGCAGAAUCUAAUUUAAACUUUAAUAUGAAAUUGUUCCAUUACGAAUCCGACAGUCGCCAAACCCACCCGAGAAGAAACGAUCGGAGCAAGAUUCCAUCUUCUGUCCGACUUCAUUAUUAUGCAAAUUGUUCUCACUGCCAAAAGUAGGAAUCCGAGUUUGAUCGUGGACGAUUCGUUCUGUCGAGUGAGGUUUGUUAAAUGUAAAAGCAUCUAAGUUUGAAUGUUGAUUAUUAUCUUUGUUCCAAUUUGAGUUAAAUUACAUUUUGCUCAGGAGGUUAUGAACCUUAUUUUGCAAGUGUUAAAAUAACAGUUCUGUUAAUCCUUUGGUAAUGCUGUCGAGUAAAUUUAAAAGCUAAAAAGUUCUCAGAAAAAUGUUUGUACGAAAAUAGGUGUGUAUAUUUGUAUAGAAUAUUAGUCAAUUCAGCUUCGUAUUUAUAUAUCAGAUAUGCUGCACGUAUGUUUACGAUAUUGAUUUUUAAGUGAGAAUGUGCUCUGGUAUACAUUAUCUAAAAACACUUUAACUUAAAUUAUUAAGAUCUUUCCACAAAAAAAAUGGUGCAUAUGCAUUUAUAUUCGACGUUCGAUUAACAUUUUGUUACGUGUAUCACUAGUAGAAAACAAAGUAUUACGACUUAGACGUGAAUGGAUUAAUUGGAUUUGAAUUGUGUAAUGUAAAUUUUGCAAUUGCAAGAAAAAUAGAACUUGUAUACUUAAAGAAAUUAUGCAUAUAAGAUUAUAAAUAUAUACUUAUAGAUGGACUAAAGCCAUUUGUUGAUUGCUAGAGUAGUCCAACGUAUAUCUUAGCAAAGGAAUCACUUGUUUUUUUUUUUACCAACUUCUUUGUACUCGUUCUACAAUUUGACUUUUGUACCACUCAAAUUUAGAAUUUUUACAUUUUUCAAGAAUCAAAUAGAACUUUUUUACAUUCCCAGAAUAAUUAGUAUAGUUUUUGGACCAAACCGAGAAAUAAACUUCUUUAUUUUGAUCAAGAUUUACACACACGGUUUUGAAAGAAUUUCAUAUAAAAUGCAACUUUUGUCUCAAGUUUUAUAAACUAUUUUUAGGUCACAUUAUUAAUCCGUAACUUAUUAUGUGGCACAGAAAACAUUUACAUUUUCUGACGAUCUGCCCAUUGCCCUUACACAUACAUAUCUAACAGUGAUAGAAGAGUAUAUUUGCAUGCGUACUCCGUAUCGUGUAACCGUGGUGUCGUGCUGAAAAUGUGAUCUGACGUCGUACGAUAGUAUUUCAUUCGAAGCAGUGUCGGUGUUUAAGUAAUAUUGAUGGCAUAGUCUCGUACAAAUAUAUUAACAGAUGAUAAUUCCUUUUUUUUUUUUUUUUUUCUUUGUGGACCAUCUGACCGGAGCAGAACGACAUACUCUUUAACAAUUUUUGUAUAUAAUUUAUAACAAUAAUUACUUUUCUUUAUAUGAAAUAACUUGAAACAGUUUCCUCGAAGCAUGUGGUAACAAUUACCAUUGUUUACAAUUUAGAUGUAUUUUUUAAAUUGUGCCAGAUGGCUUGUAAAAUUUCAGUGAUAAUAAAAUUUGUUCUAGUGAUAAA